Molecule: ribosomal RNA, 427 nt
Filed under: uncultured bacterium
Lineage: Bacteria
Description: bacterial SSU rRNA
Rfam family: Bacterial small subunit ribosomal RNA
Source: RNAcentral
UGGGGAAUUUUGGACAAUGGACGCAAGUCUGAUCCAGCCAUGCCGCGUGCGGGAAGAAGGCCUUCGGGUUGUAAACCGCUUUUGUCAGGGAAGAAACGAGUUUCUCUAAUACAGAGACUUAAUGACGGUACCUGAAGAAUAAGCACCGGCUAACUACGUGCCAGCAGCCGCGGUAAUACGUAGGGUGCAAGCGUUAAUCGGAAUUACUGGGCGUAAAGCGUGCGCAGGCGGUGAUGUAAGACAGAUGUGAAAUCCCCGGGCUCAACCUGGGACCUGCAUUUGUGACUGUAUAGCUAGAGUACGGUAGAGGGGGAUGGAAUUCCGCGUGUAGCAGUGAAAUGCGUAGAUAUGCGGAGGAACACCGAUGGCGAAGGCAAUCCCCUGGGCCUGCACUGACGCUCAUGCACGAAAGCGUGGGGAGCAAACA